AUGGCGUUAGCAGCUAACACCCAUGGAAGAGUCUGCACCCUCUCCUCCAGGCCACCCACACCUUUCAGCAGGAGCACGACCACCAUGCCUGGACACAAUGUUCAGUCGUCACGAGCCCGGUUCGCCGUCCGAGCCACCGCGGAGCGCUGGCUGUCUGGGCUGGACCUACCGGCGUACCUCGACGGCACGCUGCCUGGCGAUUACGGGUUUGGUCCCUUGGGGCUCGGGGAGCAGCCUGAGGCCUUGAAGUGGUACGUCCAGGCCGAGCUCGUCCACUGCCGGUUUGCCAUGGCAGGGGUCGCCGGCAUCCUUGGAACCAAUCUGAUCAGUGUAUCAGGGAUCGGCAACCUACCAGUGUGGUUUGAAGCAGGCGCCGCGAAAUUUGACUUUGCCAACACCACAACACUCUUCUUUGUUCAGCUUCUCUUGAUGGGGUAA
Molecule: ribosomal RNA, 438 nt
Filed under: Triticum aestivum (bread wheat)
Lineage: Eukaryota; Viridiplantae; Streptophyta; Magnoliopsida; Poales; Poaceae
Description: partial small subunit ribosomal RNA
Source: RNAcentral